GUCCCUACUUUAGUGCGCCAACUAGUUGAGGUGAUUCUGCUGUGAAGCGUCCAUUCAAUCCAGAAGGGACGAGCAGUGCAAAGUGUGGAAAUUAAUUAAAUUCUAGACAACAAAGGAACGAGAUGGGUCACUGCGGAUAAGAGGCGGUGCAGAUGACAAGUACAGGUGAAAGGCUUUAUAAAGUGAGCAGUACGAGUAAUGUGUGUCAAACGUGGUCCUUCACGCACAGUGGCACUUCACGACAAUUCCACAUAUUCCGAUCCCCCCGCACGAAAUAAUAGAUAUCGCAGAGCAUUAUUCUGGUAGUUUGUUUGUCAGUUUGUC
RNAcentral lists this long non-coding RNA (324 nucleotides) under Drosophila guanche. The record is from RNAcentral. Lineage: Eukaryota; Metazoa; Arthropoda; Insecta; Diptera; Drosophilidae.